GGGGUCAUGAGGAAAAGGAAAUAGGAAGUGACAGGAAGGAAGAGCAUCGAGGAAACUGCUUCCCAGGAACCCAGAGGCCCACACCAGCUCCCACUGCCACCACCAAGGUUAUGUUAUGCUCACCAGCCUCAGACUCUGUGUCUACAAAACAGGAAUGCAGAGGAGAGCUGCUGUGAGAACCUGCUGACCCACCCUACACCAAAUCCUGGGCUUGCAAUCAGUCCAGGUUCACGGAGGUCCUGCUGCACAGCGUGUGACUGGUCCCAUGCUGGGCACUUCAGCCCAAGAGAUAACAAGACACAGGGGGCAGCCCGGAGGACACUCAGGGCCAUAAGGAGACAGACAGGGGUUCGAAUCUCUUGGAGCCAACCCAGUGGUGACAAGUACACUUAGGUUCUGGGGAGGACAGUAAGGAGGGGGGUACUGUGUAGGGAAGGAUGAAGUGGGGAGCAGAAAGGUCCAGAGAGGGAACAACACAGGCAAAGCACAGAAUGAAGAGCCAUACCAAAGAGAAAGGAGAGAGAGAGGCUGUGCCUGCCAAGCAGGUGACUGAGGACAGGGAGAUCCGGAAUGCCUGGGGAUGGCAGGAAGGAGGAGGAGAAAACGGAGACUCCAAGAAGUUGAGUAAUUCGUCAGCAUGCAAAUUUUAUGCCUUUCUUGUUCAAUUUAUUCCUGGUUAUUUGAUGCUAAUGCAAAUUGGGAAUUGUUCUCAUAUUUUCAUUUUCAGAGUGCUUGAUAAUG
This 741-nucleotide long non-coding RNA is filed under the name Heterocephalus glaber (naked mole-rat). RNAcentral's name for it is "lncRNA (ENSHGLG00100051662.1)". Lineage: Eukaryota; Metazoa; Chordata; Mammalia; Rodentia; Bathyergidae. The record is from RNAcentral.